UGCCCCAGUAACGGCGAGUGAAGCGGCAACAGCUCAAAUUUGAAAUCUGGCCCCCAGGCCCGAGUUGUAAUUUGCAGAGGAUGCUUUUGGUGAGGUCCCUACCGAGUCCCCUGGAAUGGGGCGCCACAGAGGGUGAGAGCCCCGUAUGGUAGGACGCCGAACCUUUGUAAAGCUCCUUCGACGAGUCGAGUAGUUUGGGAAUGCUGCUCUAAACGGGAGGUAAAUUUCUUCUAAAGCUAAAUAUUGGCCAGAGACCGAUAGCGCACAAGUAGAGUGAUCGAAAGAUGAAAAGCACUUUGAAAAGAGGGUUAAAAAGUACGUGAAAUUGUUGAAAGGGAAGCGCUUGUGACCAGACUUGUGCCGGGCGGAUCAUCCAGCGUUCUCGCUGGUGCACUCCGUCCGGCUCAGGCCAGCAUCGGUUUUCGCCGGGGGACAAAGGCUUCGGGAACGUGGCUCCUCUCGAGGAGUGUUAUAGCCCGUUGCGUAAUACCCCGGCGGGGACCGACGACCGCGCUUCGGCAAGGAUGCUGGCGUAAUGGUCAUCAGCGACCCGUCUUGAAACACGGACCGAGGAGUCAAGCAUUAGUGCGAGUGUUUGGGUGUAAAACCCGCACGCGUAAUGAAAGUAAACGUAGGUGAGAGCUUCGGCGCAUCAUCGACCGAUCCUGAUGUUUUCGGAUGGAUUUGAGUAGGAGCAUUAACGCUUGGACCCGAAAGAUGGUGAACUAUACUUGAAUAGGGUGAAGCCAGAGGAAACUCUGGUGGAGGCUCGCAGCGGUUCUGACGUGCAAAUCGAUCGUCAAAUUUGAGUAUAG
RNAcentral lists this ribosomal RNA (815 nucleotides) under Macgarvieomyces juncicola. RNAcentral describes it as "partial large subunit ribosomal RNA". It matches the Rfam family "Eukaryotic large subunit ribosomal RNA", at positions 76 to 920 of the family's 3401-position model. Lineage: Eukaryota; Fungi; Ascomycota; Sordariomycetes; Magnaporthales; Pyriculariaceae. The record is from RNAcentral.